UUCCGCUGGUCACACCAUGCCGCGUGAGUUUGAAGGCCCUAUGGUCUGAAAGCUCUUUUUCAGGAAGAAAAUGAUCUAUCAGGUAAUGAAACCCGGGACUACUCCAUGACAGAACGGCUAACUCCACGGCGGGGGUUACGGUUGUUGGAAGUUCUGGGCGUUAUCCGCACUCAUUGGGUUUAAUGGGUCCGAAGUGAGAUCUCUGGGUUCAAGCUGAGAACUGCCUUCUAAACUGCUAGUCUGGAGUUCAAAAGAGGUGACUGGAAUUCCAAGGGUAUAGGUGAAAUUCGUAGAUAUUCGGAGGAAUGCCUAUGUAUAAGGCGGAUCACUGGUUGCAAACGGACGCUAAUGUGCUGAAAUGUGGGCAGCGAACAGAAUUAGAUACCCUGGUAGUCCAUUCCAUAACCUGGAAAUCCACGCCGUACACUAUCAUCACUCUCUGUGACACACCUAACGGUUAUCCCCCUCCGCCUGGGGAGUACGGUCCCCCUAUUCAAACUGAAUUGAAAUUGACGGACUCAAAGGAAUUGACGGUU
Molecule: ribosomal RNA, 536 nt
Filed under: uncultured marine bacterium
Lineage: Bacteria
Description: bacterial SSU rRNA
Rfam family: Bacterial small subunit ribosomal RNA
Source: RNAcentral